Molecule: long non-coding RNA, 304 nt
Organism: Oenanthe melanoleuca
Lineage: Eukaryota; Metazoa; Chordata; Aves; Passeriformes; Muscicapidae
Exons: 3
Source: RefSeq, a predicted model, not a curated record
GGAAAAUGCCGCUUGAAAAGACAGACCACCACCCCCUGCCGUCCACCGGCGCUGAGGGAGCUCCUGGUAACCUGUCUGCAGCAGAAAGAAUGAGAACCCUCUUGGUGGAGUGGCAGGAGCUGCUGGUUAAAACUGAGAGCAGAGCCCAGCCACCAGUCCCUCAUCGUGACUUAGACGGAUAAUUAGUCAGGCUUCAACCCUACUUUAUUCUUCAUCUUCCAUCACUUGAAACUUAUCCUACAAACUUUUUUUGUGUGGAGAUCACCAGGCAGCAGCAGCAGAAGCAUUGGGCCUGAGGGAAGCU